UAGUCCAUGCCGUAAACGAUGUCAACUAGCCGUUGGGAGCAAUUAAGCUCUUAGUGGCGCAGCUAACGCGAUAAGUUGACCGCCUGGGGAGUACGCCGGCAACGGUAAAACUCAAAUGAAUUGACGGGGGCCCGCACAAGCGGUGGAGCAUGUGGUUUAAUUCGAUGCAACGCGAAAAAACCUUACCUACCCUUGACAUCCUCAGAACUUGUUAGAGAUAACUUGGUGCCUUCGGGAACUGAGUGACAGGUGCUGCAUGGCUGUCGUCAGCUCGUGUCGUGAGAUGUUCGGUUAAGUCCGGCAACGAGCGCAACCCACGUCUUUAGUUACCAGCAUUUAGUUGGGUACCCUAGAGAGACCGCCGGUGAUAAGCCGGAGG
RNAcentral lists this ribosomal RNA (379 nucleotides) under uncultured bacterium. RNAcentral describes it as "bacterial SSU rRNA". It matches the Rfam family "Bacterial small subunit ribosomal RNA", at positions 791 to 1169 of the family's 1533-position model. The record is from RNAcentral.